Astatotilapia calliptera (eastern happy) is the source of this 15850-nucleotide long non-coding RNA. Lineage: Eukaryota; Metazoa; Chordata; Actinopteri; Cichliformes; Cichlidae. The record is from Ensembl.
AUCCAAUUAGACACACUUAUUGGAUGCCAUGUUUAUCUGAUAAUCAAAGUGGUGGUGUGGACAGAGAAGAUAUACAAUGUUUAGGUCAGAUUAGUCCUCACUUGCUACACUACCUCAGAACUGCCGUCAAAGUGAACCAGCACAGGACUCUCAGAUGACCUGCUACACAGCUUUGUUUUUAAAUUUACAAGGCAAAAGAACAUGGAGAACAAAGACAGCAGGAUGACAACAGAAUGGAACUCAACAAUGGAAAACAGAAAGCAAUCAGAUAGCAAACAAACAAGAACUGACAUGAAAACCCAAAAAGAAACUUUAAAAAGACAAAGGCAACUGAUAUGUCAAGCAAUGGAGGAGAUCGAACAACUCUGGAGACAGACAGAAAGAAAGACAAAUGAAAUUGACUUCUUAAAGACAAAGACAGAGGGGCAACAGGAAGACAUUGAGAGACUGACAUCUGAAAAAAAUAAACAUCACCUACUAUUAAAGCAAUUUAACUUCCAAAUAAAAAAUAUAACUGAGAAACUCAAACAAAGCAAAAAUUCAGUUGCUAAGGAAAAAACAAACUUUCUGAAAACGUGGACUAAAAUAUAUCAAGAAAAGGAUACUCUGGACAGAAGACGUCAAUACUUCAUCAACGAGCGACACAAGCUAGACACUAUAAAAGCUAGUAAGACAGAAUCACCAAUAAGGGAGGAACCCAAAGAGCCCCUUAAUGAGCAGGUAAAGCGGGAACUGGAUAUACUGGAGAAUGCAACUGAGAAAAACAGGGAAAUAAUGCUUGAAGUAAAGAAAGUUAAAGAAAAAAUGGAGAAAACUAAAGCAAACAUACAGCAAGCAUUAAAAAGAAAUAAAAAGGACAUUUCAAAAAACAGUGAACAAAUUAACCACAUUAAACAUAUUAUGUAUGUAAAGAUCAACAUGGUCAAGCACAGAUGGGCAAGCAUUAUAAAACAGGCUGAAAUGAAGAAAAUUCACAUGUAUAAAGAAGGACAGAGAGAAAGAAACGAUGGAAAAGCCACAUUUGACACAGUGAAGAGAAAACUGUGUAGAAUCCAGGAAGAGAUGGAGAAACUUUGGGAUGUGCUGGAAGACAGUGAACAACAACUGGAAGUGACUCAAAGUGCAAAGCAGCAGCUAAUGGCAGAGAACAAUCACAUGAACAUCAAGAUGAAUAUUGAUUAUCAAAAGCAACAAGAUUCAGAUCUAAGCUUUAAAGUGACACACAUCCAGCCUGAAAGAGAUGAUUUAAAGAGAGUUGAAAUGAAACUAAAGACAGGAAGGGAAAAUGUAGAAAAAGACAAACCAAAUACUUACAUGCAGAAUUUGAUCUCUGAGGAAGAAGAAAACAAUGAAGUGCUUUGUAACAAGGGUGAAGAAACAAAGCAGAGCAUGAGGGACUUUACAGAAGUAAAGGCUCAAACGAAAUGGACAAAUUUUCGAGAAAAGCAAAAAAGAAGGGAGCUUGAGCGUUUGCUGGAGAAGAUAAGGAAAGAGAGGGAUGAGUUAGAAAUCAUGAAGACAAAAAUACAGCGACAAAAGGAAAGGGUUGAACAAAAACUGGAAAAUACUGUCACUGAGAUAAAAGGUAAAAUAGAAAAAACUGGUGCAGAAAUGAACAACACUUGGGAGAAAAUGCAGAGAACCCAAAGGGAGAUUAGUAAGAACCAGGAAGAAGCCAAGAACUAUAUGGAAAAACUGACAUCCAUGAAAACUUGGGUCAACAAAUGGAUAUUGGCACAAUCUACAAUCAAACAUACUUUUUCAGUGAACGCAUCCAAACUUCAAGAAUCACAGUAUGAAAUAGACACAGACUCCCUUGAGGAUCAAACAUCAGCAAUUCCAAAGGACAAAAAAGGGAAAAAAAGUAUAACAGAUACAACAUCAUUACAAAAUUCUGUAACAUUAGAUGAUCAGCAUCAAAAUAAAAAAAUAAAAGAACAACAGAAGGAGCAUUUUGAAUCCAAAUAUUGUUUUGCAGAAGGCAAAAAUGGGGAGCAGGACUUUUGCUUACAGAUGCGAACUGAAAUUCAUGAAGAAGUAGUGCAUGAUAAAACUGAAUUACUGAUAAUUGUAAGAGAAAGGGAAGAAGUGGAAAAACUGAUACGUAACCUAAAGCAGCAAGAGGGGGAAAUAAAGGAACAAAUAAAGUACACUAUUGAUAACAUGAACGAAAAAACUCAAGAUAUAAAAAGGCUCAUUUUGGAAAUAAAUGACCUGCAGAGGGCAGACACUGUAAUUACAGUCGGGGAAACUGAAAAUGCCCAGGAAGUAUUAACUAAGCUGUUGGAAGAAACUGAACAGAGAAAGAUUUUGAUGCUGAACACCAAAGUUUUCAAAAAUGAAAUAAUAAAAUAUGAAGUACAAGAGGGGGACGAUGCCAAAAAAAUAAAACAAGAGUCUAGCUUGAUAAGGCUUAAUGUUAACAAGCAAAAACUAAUUCAGAAAUCAGGAGAAGAGAUGAAAAAACAUGUUGAACACACCGAUGAAGAUAAAAAGGACAGAGGAGCCGAUAUACAAAGACUCAGGGCAGAGAUUUACAAAACACAAGAGAUUAUAAGAACGCUAAGAGGAGGACUUGAGAACCUAGCGGAAAAAAAUAACAUGGACAAAUAUCAACAGAAUGAAGGCAGUGAAAUUGAAGGAUUGCUAAAAGACAUCAAACAGUUUCAAGAGUUUUUGGAAAUUGUAAAAACCAAAAUAAAGCAAAGUGAAGUACAUAUGACAGAAGAAAUGAGCAAUAUAAAAUCAAUGAAAACUGCAGUGAAAAAGAAGAGAAGAGAAUUAGAUCAAAGAUUAGAAAAUACUUUGAAAGAGAGAGAUGGAUUAGACAUCUUUAAAAUAAAAAUGCAGAGGCAAACUGAACUGAUUCGGCAGAAUUUAGAAAAAAUGGCAAAAGUUAAGAGCACAGUCGAGAAAAUAGCUGCUAAGACCAGAAGGAAAAUUGAAGAGAUAGAAAUUAGUAUGAAGGAGACUGAAAUAAAACUAAGACAGUUUAAAGACCUUGACUGCAUUAACCUUAACUUGACAAAAGGCGCAAAACCAGACAUGGAACAUGGUAGUACACCUAAGCAAAGAACUGCUCUUGAAAUUUUCAAGACUGAAAUUAAGAAGACAAUGGACAAUAAAAGAGAUAAACUGACAAAAAACAAAAUGGACAAAGAAACUGAGGGAACAGAAAGCCUCAAACAAGUUAAUGAGAAACUGGAGGAGGUAAAACUUUCAUUAGACAGUCUGGGUCAAAAAAAUAAAAAAUCAGUUAGUGAGAAUGUAAAACAAAUAAUCAAGAGAGAAGAGACUGAGAUGACAGAACAGAUCCAAACAGCGAUAAAGAAUGAGAAAAUGGUUAAACAGCUAACUGAAACAGAAAUACAGGAGGAACAGGUGAACCAUUUGAGGGAGAAAACUGAAAGAAAAGAACAGGAGCUUGAUGACGGAGUACACAUGACCAAAAGGCAAAUAAGAGAAAUGGAGCUGCUGCAAUCAGAAUUGAAAAUAAAGGUAAAAGAAUUUGAGCGUUUUUUUAGAAAAAGUAUGAGAAAAAAGGAGGAAAUUGAAAUAAUGUGGUAUGAAAUACAACAAGAAAAGGAAGCAUUGAGGACCGAGAUCAAAAAGAAAAGAAGAGAAUUAGACCAAAGACUGGAGAUGACUAUGAGAAAAAGGGAUGAACUAGAAGUGUUAAGGGUAAAAUUGAAACGACAGAUGGAAGAGCUGGCUGAGGAGAAGCAGAGAGACCAUAAUCUGUUCAUCCAUCUACCCAAUGAACAUGAAAAACAUUUUGGAAGGAAAGAUGUGAAAAUGUUAAUGGAGAAAAUCAAAAACCACAGCUUAAAAGUUUCUCAGUAUACUAUUUACAUCCAAGACAUAAGAGACAAGUUUAAUUUACACAUGGGAACAAUUAGGACAGAGAUGAAAAUUCUAGAAAAUGUGAAUGCUCAUUUAGAAAAGGACAAAAAAGGAUUCAGAGAAGUUGAGGCUGAAAAUAAGAAUAUAACAAACAAAAUGAAGAGGUUAAAAUAUCAGCUUAAUAUACUCUUUGGAAGAGUUACCAUACAAGACACUGCAGAGAUGGAUGAAACAAUCAACAUCUGGGAAAAAAUCCAAAGAGAAAAACAGAAGCUUGAUAUGAGACUAGAAAAUAUUAAAAGGGAAAGACAAGAGAUAGAAGUUCUGGUGGUUGAGCUGGAGAUGAAGAAAAGAGAAAACCAACGUGUAAUCAAAAGAAGCAUUCAAAAAGAACAGAAGAUAAAAAGAAUAUGGGCUACUUUCAAAGAAGAAAGAACUGCCCUCGUGAGAGAAACAAAGCAGAAAAAGGAGGUUGAACAACGACGAGAGGAGAUCAUCAAACAUCAAGGUGAACAAGAAAUAAAGCAGAAGUUGCAAAAAGAAAAGAAAGGGAUGCAAAGUGAAAUUGAAGACAUGAGGAUGAAAGAAAAAAGGAAACAAAUUCAAAAACAAUGGGAACUAAUCAAGAAAUACUUAGGGGAAUAUAAAAAGGUAAUUAAAAACACUCAAUUCAUCAUUGGAAUAAUUCAGAAUGAAAAUAAACACAUGCAAGACCAAAAAAAUUUCUACAUGACCAAAAGGAAAGAAACACUGAAUAUUAAAAGUGAAUUAAAUAGGCAAAAGGAAAUUAUACGGUGUGCAUUAAAAAACAUACAACAAGAGCCAAAACAUGGGGAACAAGUGGAGACAAAAAUCAAGACGGAGCAAGGAAAGCAUGAAAAUGAAAGGGAAAAAAUAUAUGAGAUAGAAAAAGAUGCCUUGGAUGACUUAAGUGCAGACGAGAGUCAAGACAAAGAGGAUCUUGAAAGAGUGAAAGAGUUGUUGAAAAAGAACCAGAAACUUGACAUGAGAGGCUGUAAAAUCAAAAAAGAAAUAGACAUAUUAAAACAAAAAAAUGAAAACAUAAAAGAGGAAAGGAAAACAACUGAAAUAAAAGAAACUGAAAAAAAAAUGAAACUGAAAGAUUUCAAUAAAAUGUUUUGGGGCAAACAAAAAGAAAAACACAGUACUGAGUAUCUGACUGUAAAGAAAGAAUAUAAAAGAGAAACGACUAAGGAUGGUAUAAAAAGGGUGAUCUUACAAGACACAAAACAAGACUUGAUAAAAAAAGAGAUAAAAAAAUGUAACCAGGAAAAAGAAAAAGUCAUCCAGAUGAAAACUAGACGUGAGAAUAGAAAAGAACUGUUGUUGAAGGUAAGGAGAAACAUCAAAGAUGAAGAGAAAGAGAUGGAAAUGAGAGGAGACCAAGUCAUGGAUGAAAUGAAAUCGCUAGAGAUUCUGAAAGUGAAACUUCAACAACUGAAGGGGGAUAUAAAAGCCAAAAUGGAGAGAUUACUACAAAAUGUUGACAACAGGUCAAGGCUGCAAACAGUGUUGGAAGAAAAACUUCCAACCCAAGACGAACUGAAAGAAAGCAUUCGCUGUUUCACUGAAAUGUUAGAGAGAGAAAAGGAAGGUGUGAGAAGUAUCCUUUCAGACAUGGUCACCAAGAGAGAAUGCACAGAAAAUGAAUGGAAGCAGCAGUUUGAACUGGACAAACGAGAGCUUGAUAAAGUGAAAGAAGAUCUGAGACACGACAGAGAAGAUCUGGAGAGAGAAAGUGAGGUGCUGAAUAAAGAGAAAAUGGAUUUGAAGGUGUUGAUGUCUGACAUCAUGAAACAAUUUGAAAUAUUGGAAGAAAAGAAACAAAAUAUAAAAGAAGAACGAGACUCAAUGGAAACCAUAAAGCUUGAACUGCUCAAUAAGAUGGAACAUGUAAACAGGCUGUUACAUGAGACAAAUGACGAAAAAGCCAAGAUUAAAAAUUGUAUCCUUCAGGUUCAAAUGGAAAAAGAAAGACUUGAAGACAUUUUAAGCAAGAUUUUCUUAACACAUAAUGAAGAAAAAGUCAAGGAAUAUGGCCUCAGAAGACAAACAAAAGAAGUGGAAAUCAUGAAAAAGGAAUUACAGAGUGAAAGAGCAAAAGUGGAGAGUCUGAUGAGGAAUCUGAAGAAGAAGCAAGAAGAGCUUGAACGUGCAAAGGAAAUCAUGAGUGGAGAAAAAGAAGAGAUGAAAGAGAUGAAGACUGACAUUGCCAAAGAACGAGAACUGUUGUUGAAGGAAAGGAGAAAUAUGGAAGAAGAGCGGUCUGAGAUGGAAAUGAGAGGAGACCAAGUCAUGGAUGAAAUGAAAUUGCUAGAGAUUCUGAAAGUGAAACUUCAACAACUGAAGGAGGAUAUAAAAGCCAAAAUGGAGAGAUUACUACAAAAUGUUGACAACAGGUCAAGGCUGCAAACAGUGUUGGAAGAAAAACUUCCAACCCAAGACGAACUGAAAGAAAGCAUUCGCUGUUUCACUGAAAUGUUAGAGAGAGAAAAGGAAGGUGUGAGAAGUAUCCUUUCAGAAAUGGUCACCAAGAGAGAAAGCACAGAAAAUGAAUGGAAGCAGCAGGUUGAACUGGACAAACGAGAGCUUGAUGAAGUGAAAGAAGAUCUGAGACACGACAGAGAAGAUCUGGAGAGAGAAAGUGAGGUGCUGAAUAAAGAGAAAAUGGAUUUGAAGGUGUUGAUGUCUGACAUCAAGAAACAAUUUGAAAUAUUGGAAGAAAAGAAACAAAAUAUAAAAGAAGAACGAGACUCAAUGGAAACCAUAAAGCUUGAACUGCUCGAUAAGAUGGAACAUGUAAACAGGCUGUUACAUGAGACAAAUGACGAAAAAGCCAAGAUUAAAAAUUGUAUCCUUCAGGUUCAAACGGAAAAAGAAAGACUUGAAGACAUUUUAAGCAAGAUUUUCUUAACACAUAAUGAAGAAAAAGUCAAGGAAGAUGACCUCAGAAGACAAACAAAAGAAGUGGAAAUCAUGAAAAAGGAAUUACAGAGUGAAAGAGCAAAAGUGGAGAGUCUGAUGAGGAAUCUGAAGAAGAAGCAAGAAGAGCUUGAACGUGCAAAGGGAAUCAUGAGUGAAGAAAAAGAAGAGAUGAAAGAGAUGAAGACUGACAUUGCCAAAGAACGAGAACUGUUGUUGAAGGAAAGGAGAAAUAUGGAAGAAGAGCGGUCUGAGAUGGAAAUGAGAGGAGACCAAGUCAUGGAUGAAAUGAAAUUGCUAGAGAUUCUGAAAGUGAAACUUCAACAACUGAAGGAGGAUAUAAAAGCCAAAAUGGAGAGAUUACUACAAAAUGUUGACAACAGGUCAAGGCUGCAAACAGUGUUGGAAGAAAAACUUCCAACCCAAGACGAACUGAAAGAAAGCAUUCGCUGUUUCACUGAAAUGUUAGAGAGAGAAAAGGAAGGUGUGAGAAGUAUCCUUUCAGAAAUGGUCACCAAGAGAGAAUGCACAGAAAAUGAAUGGAAGCAGCAGUUUGAACUGGACAAACGAGAGCUUGAUAAAGUGAAAGAAGAUCUGAGACACGACAGAGAAGAUCUGGAGAGAGAAAGUGAGGUGCUGAAUAAAGAGAAAAUGGAUUUGAAGGUGUUGAUGUCUGACAUCAAGAAACAAUUUGAAAUAUUGGAAGAAAAGAAACAAAAUAUAAAAGAAGAACGAGACUCAAUGGAAACCAUAAAGCUUGAACUGCUCAAUAAGAUGGAACAUGUAAACAGGCUGUUACAUGAGACAAAUGACGAAAAAGCCAAGAUUAAAAAUUGUAUCCUUCAGGUUCAAACGGAAAAAGAAAGACUUGAAGACAUUUUAAGCAAGAUUUUCUUAACACAUAAUGAAGAAAAAGUCAAGGAAGAUGACCUCAGAAGACAAACAAAAGAAGUGGAAAUCAUGAAAAAGGAAUUACAGAGUGAAAGAGCAAAAGUGGAGAGUCUGAUGAGGAAUCUGAAGAAGAAGCAAGAAGAGCUUGAACGUGCAAAGGGAAUCAUGAGUGAAGAAAAAGAAGAGAUGAAAGAGAUGAAGACUGACAUUGCCAAAGAACGAGAACUGUUGUUGAAGGAAAGGAGAAAUAUGGAAGAAGAGCGGUCUGAGAUGGAAAUGAGAGGAGACCAAGUCAUGGAUGAAAUGAAAUUGCUAGAGAUUCUGAAAGUGAAACUUCAACAACUGAAGGAGGAUAUAAAAGCCAAAAUGGAGAGAUUACUACAAAAUGUUGACAACAGGUCAAGGCUGCAAACAGUGUUGGAAGAAAAACUUCCAACCCAAGACGAACUGAAAGAAAGCAUUCGCUGUUUCACUGAAAUGUUAGAGAGAGAAAAGGAAGGUGUGAGAAGUAUCCUUUCAGAAAUGGUCACCAAGAGAGAAUGCACAGAAAAUGAAUGGAAGCAGCAGUUUGAACUGGACAAACGAGAGCUUGAUAAAGUGAAAGAAGAUCUGAGACACGACAGAGAAGAUCUGGAGAGAGAAAGUGAGGUGCUGAAUAAAGAGAAAAUGGAUUUGAAGGUGUUGAUGUCUGACAUCAAGAAACAAUUUGAAAUAUUGGAAGAAAAGAAACAAAAUAUAAAAGAAGAACGAGACUCAAUGGAAACCAUAAAGCUUGAACUGCUCAAUAAGAUGGAACAUGUAAACAGGCUGUUACAUGAGACAAAUGACGAAAAAGCCAAGAUUAAAAAUUGUAUCCUUCAGGUUCAAACGGAAAAAGAAAGACUUGAAGACAUUUUAAGCAAGAUUUUCUUAACACAUAAUGAAGAAAAAGUCAAGGAAGAUGACCUCAGAAGUCAAACAAAAGAAGUGGAAAUCAUGAAAAAGGAAUUACAGAGUGAAAGAGCAAAAGUGGAGAGUCUGAUGAGGAAUCUGAAGAAGAAGCAAGAAGAGCUUGGGCGUGCAAAGGGAAUCAUGAGUGAAGAAAAAGAAGAGAUGAAAGAGAUGAAGACUGACAUUGCCAAAGAACGAGAACUGUUGUUGAAGGAAAGGAGAAAUAUGGAAGAAGAGCGGUCUGAGAUGGAAAUGAGAGGAGACCAAGUCAUGGAUGAAAUGAAAUUGCUAGAGAUUCUGAAAGUGAAACUUCAACAACUGAAGGAGGAUAUAAAAGCCAAAAUGGAGAGAUUACUACAAAAUGUUGACAACAGGUCAAGGCUGCAAACAGUGUUGGAAGAAAAACUUCCAACCCAAGACGAACUGAAAGAAAGCAUUCGCUGUUUCACUGAAAUGUUAGAGAGAGAAAAGGAAGGUGUGAGAAGUAUCCUUUCAGACAUGGUCACCAAGAGAGAAUGCACAGAAAAUGAAUGGAAGAAGCAGUUUGAACUGGACAAACGAGAACUUGAUAAAGUGAAAGAAGAUCUAAAACAUGACAGAGAAGAUCUGGAGAGAGAAAGUGAGGUGUUGAAUAAAGAGAAAAUGGAUUUGAAGGUGUUGAUGUCUGACAUCAAGAAACAAUUUGAAAUAUUGGAAGAAAAGAAACAAAAUAUAAAAGAAGAACGAGACUCAAUGGAAACCAUAAAGCUUGAACUGCUCAAUAAGAUGGAACAUGUAAACAGGCUGUUACAUGAGACAAAUGACGAAAAAGCCAAGAUUAAAAAUUGUAUCCUUCAGGUUCAAACGGAAAAAGAAAGACUUGAAGACAUUUUAAGCAAGAUUUUCUUAACACAUAAUGAAGAAAAAGUCAAGGAAGAUGAACUCAGAAGUCAAACAAAAGAAGUGGAAAUCAUGAAAAAGGAAUUACAGAGUGAAAGAGCAAAAGUGGAGAGUCUGAUGAGGAAUCUGAAGAAGAAGCAAGAAGAGCUUGAACGUGCAAAGGGAAUCAUGAGUGAAGAAAAAGAAGAGAUGAAAGAGAUGAAGACUGACAUUGCCAAAGAACGAGAACUGUUGUUGAAGGAAAGGAGAAAUAUGGAAGAAGAGCGGUCUGAGAUGGAAAUGAGAGGAGACCAAGUCAUGGAUGAAAUGAAAUUGCUAGAGAUUCUGAAAGUGAAACUUCAACAACUGAAGGAGGAUAUAAAAGCCAAAAUGGAGAGAUUACUACAAAAUGUUGACAACAGGUCAAGGCUGCAAACAGUGUUGGAAGAAAAACUUCCAACCCAAGACGAACUGAAAGAAAGCAUUCGCUGUUUCACUGAAAUGUUAGAGAGAGAAAAGGAAGGUGUGAGAAGUAUCCUUUCAGAAAUGGUCACCAAGAGAGAAAGCACAGAAAAUGAAUGGAAGCAGCAGUUUGAAUUGGACAAACGAGAGCUUGAUGAAGUGAAAGAAAAUCUGAGACACGACAGAGAAGAUCUGGAGAGAGAAAGUGAGGUGCUGAAUAAAGAGAAAAUGGAUUUGAAGGUGUUGAUGUCUGACAUCAAGAAACAAUUUGAAAUAUUGGAAGAAAAGAAACAAAAUAUAAAAGAAGAACGAGACUCAAUGGAAACCAUAAAGCUUGAACUGCUCAAUAAGAUGGAACAUGUAAACAGGCUGUUACAUGAGACAAAUGACGAAAAAGCCAAGAUUAAAAAUUGUAUCCUUCAGGUUCAAACGGAAAAAGAAAGACUUGAAGACAUUUUAAGCAAGAUUUUCUUAACACAUAAUGAAGAAAAAGUCAAGGAAGAUGAACUCAGAAGUCAAACAAAAGAAGUGAAAAUCAUGAAAAAGGAAUUACAGAGUGAAAGAGCAAAAGUGGAGAGUCUGAUGAGGAAUCUGAAGAAGAAGCAAGAAGAGCUUGAACGUGCAAAGGGAAUCAUGAGUGAAGAAAAAGAAGAGAUGAAAGAGAUGAAGACUGACAUUGCCAAAGAACAAGAACUGUUGUUGAAGGAAAGGAGAAAUAUGGAAGAAGAGCGGUCUGAGAUGGAAAUGAGAGGAGACCAAGUCAUGGAUGAAAUGAAAUUGCUAGAGAUUCUGAAAGUGAAACUUCAACAACUGAAGGAGGAUAUAAAAGCCAAAAUGGAGAGAUUACUACAAAAUGUUGACAACAGGUCAAGGCUGCAAACAGUGUUGAAAGAAAAACUUCCAACCCAAGAUGAACUGAAAGAAAGCAUUCGCUGUUUCACUGAAAUGUUAGAGAGAGAAAAGGAAGGUGUGAGAAGUAUCCUUUCAGACAUGGUCACCAAGAGAGAAUGCACAGAAAAUGAAUGGAAGCAGCAGUUUGAACUGGACAAACGAGAGCUUGAUGAAGUGAAAGAAGAUCUGAGACACGACAGAGAAGAUCUGGAGAGAGAAAGUGAGGAGCUGAAUAGAGAGAAAAUGGAUUUGAAGGUGUUGAUGUCUGACAUCAAGAAACAAUUUGAAAUAUUGGAAGAAAAGAAACAAAAUAUAAAAGAAGAACGAGACUCAAUGGAAAUCAUAAAGCUUGAACUGCUCAAUAAGAUGGAACAUGUAAACAGGCUGUUACAUGAGACAAAUGAAGAAAAAGCCAAGAUUAAAAAUUGUAUCCUUCAGGUUCAAAUGGAAAAAGAAAGACUUGAAGACAUUUUAAGCAAGAUUUUCUUAACACAUAAUGAAGAAAAAGUCAAGGAAGAUGACCUCAGAAGACAAACAAAAGAAGUGGAAAUCAUGAAAAAGGAAUUACAGAGUGAAAGAGCAAAAGUGGAGAGUCUGAUGAGGAAUCUGAAGAAGAAGCAAGAAGAGCUUGAACGUGCAAAGGGAAUCAUGAGUGAAGAAAAAGAAGAGAUGAAAGAGAUGAAGACUGACAUUGCCAAAGAACAAGAACUGUUGUUGAAGGAAAGGAGAAAUGUGGAAGAACAGCAGUCUGGGAUGGAAAUGAGGGGAGACCAAGUCAUGGAUGAAAUGAAAUCACUAGAGAUUCUGAAAGUGAAACUAAUUGCGAGGAAAUCCCUGAAAGGUGAACUGUCUGAUGUACAACCCAGAGAGGACAUCCUCAGUAGUGUUACAAUCUCUACAAGAAACCUUAUAGGAAAACUAAAUAGACUGAUUCAUCAAGACUUGCCGACAUAUAUUAAGAGAGUAGAGGGGGAAAAUGAAAAAAUAUUACAAGUGAUCUCCACAUAUGAACAAAAUUGGGUCAGAAUUUAUAAGCAGAAAAUUAAAAUUACUGCAGAUUAUGACAAGAUACAACAACAAAAGAAACAUGUGUUUAAGACAACAUUUGACAAAGCAAUCCAAACUGAGGAUGUUGUAAAACAAUGCUUACAUGAGCAUCAGGAUGAAGAGACCAAUGAACAUGAAUUUAAGCAGAGGAUGAAGGAUGUUGCAGUUAAUCUUGAAGGAAGCAAAAGAUACUUGACACCUGACAAGGAAGGUCUGCUGUUAGUAGGAGAAGGUGAAGAAUUUGGAAAUGUCAAGAAAACAAAUCUUGCAACGUUGUCCAUCUUGUCAGCAGAGGAAGAUGACUUCACACAGAAGGGAAUUUUAAAAACUGAGUUUUUGAAACAAAUCUGGAAGGACACUAGAAUAGAACGAAAUGAAAUAAAUCAGAUGAAGCUCAGAGGUCAAGAAAUGAGAAACAAUAUGGAUAAAAGAGUAAAGGUGAUCAAUCAUUUUGUUAGGAGAUCAAUAUUUCAGAAAGAAAAGACAUCAGUUGAGAAAACAAGAAAAAUGUUGGAACAUGGGCAAAGUAAUACGUUUUUAUCUGUAAGUGGCAGGGAUGGAGAACACAAAUCACUUGAUGAAAAAUAUACCGAGCUCCAACAACUUAAGGUCCGCAUGCUUAGUGAGAUUGAGAAAUUCUACAUACAAAACAAAGCGUCUAAGACACUGACAACUAGCAACAAAGCUAAUCAAACAGUUCAACUAGAUUCUCCAAAUAUCUAUCAAGAGCAAAUAAAGGUAGAAGAAUCUGAAGCAGCACCAGAGAGAUCUCCUGGACUCCUCAGUCAGCUCAGACUUUCCUGUUAUCGCUGUUGCUCCCGUUAUUGUGCCUACUGCAAGCAAGGAUGUAUAAAGAAAAAAUGAGAGGCAAGAAAAGUGCUACAUAAAAAUCAGUCCAUUUACCUUUUGUUUUACUUUUUAGUUAUAUUAAUAUGUGUGUAUUUGGAAAAUGUGUUUUUCCCGUUAAUCAUAUUAACCUAACAACGUAAGAGUACCAGUCUGAUGUCAAUCAUCUAAUUUUUAAACAACUAGUUAUGUAAUGUAAAAGUAUUCCUUUAACAUGUUAUUUUUUUCACAAAUGCAAAAUAUUAAAGUUUAACAGAUAAUCUUAACAUUUCUAAUUACAUUUUUAUGCUGAUUUCUAAUUAAUCUUCUUUCAACAUAUUUAUUCUGUUGUCUUGUGUUAGAAUACAGAAGCACAAAGAAUACAGUAAAAUCAAAACUAACAAGAAUAUUUGAAAACUGUGACUCCAUAUAUAUUCAUAUUUAAAUGAAAGAAAAAUGCAUGUUUAACAUAAAUUUGAUCCCUAAAUAAAUCUUUUUCCAAAACCAUUCACAUCACUGCAAUAUUUUUCUUUUGGUAAAUUUCGAAUUAUAUAAGAACCCAAUUGUUUGAAACAUUAUUUAAAUUAAUUACACAGUUAAUUGUAAAUUGACAAAUUAAAUAUAAAACUCAUGCCAUCUAAUUAUCUUCAUUGGGGUAUAUCAUGUACACAUACAUAUAUAUAUAUAUAUAUUUAUAUGUCAUAUAUAAACCCUUUGUCACGGCUGCCGAGGCGAGCCGUGUGGUGUAGAAGGGAGAAAGGACCCAAAACGCAGGCAGUAGAUGAUAAUGCUAGUGAUGUUUUAUUUACACAGUGGUGAGAUGGCAAAACAGGCAAAGAAGGAAGACAAAACUAAAGACCUACACUGGGAAAGCUAAAUGACAAACCUGAGAGGGUUCCAGAAUGGGGGAGAGGCAGUGACGAACCGGCAACAGGCAGGAGAACAUCAAAGCUGACGGGACAGGGGAAACGUAAACUGAACACACUCACAUGAGAUAGAGACCUUCAGAAUAAAACAGGAAACUCACAGACACAGAACUGGACAAGACGCUGAACUAAACAGACAGAUUCACACACAGACAGUGUGACACCAUAGACAGACAGAACACAGAAGUGGAACCAGGGAAAGCACAGAACAGAAACCUAACAAAUGGCAAUUCGUAACAGAAUAUGUAUAAAUGAACAAAAGCAUAAAGAAACAUAAAACACUGAGUCGGCAGACUCAGGACCAUGACACCCUUUGCUACGGUAGUAUAGACCUGGAAAGUGUAGACAAAAUAAACAACACUUGAUUCUGUAACUUGCCUGAUUCUUCAAUACAAUUUUUAUUGUGUUUUUAGUGAAAUGAUUUUCUAUAUAAUAUUUAGAAAAUCCUUAUUAGAAUUCAGAAUCUUUUUUCAAAAGAUUUUAGAAAGUUCUUUCAAUCUUGGGAAAGAGGACCAAUAAGACAACAGGCCUAGUUAGAUCUUUAAAUGAACCCAGCUUCAUUUGUUGAUCUAUCCAACAAGGUUAUAAUGGUUGACACCCUAUCUGAAGCCGAGAUUCUAAUAAUUAAUCCUUUAGGUCAGUGGUUCUCAAACUUUUCACAAUGAGUACCACCGUAUAAAAUAUAUGGUUCUUAAAGUACCACCCUUAUGCCCGACAUUAAAGUACAGUAGUAUAGGCCUAUUUAACACCAUAUACAGUUUACACAAGACAAUUUUAUUUCUUAUAUGGAUGUUAUUUAUUUUAACUGUCAUAAACAGGAUGCGACAAGUGAUAUAAUAACAACUGUACUGCAUUAAGACAUCAAAGCAGGUGGGAUAUCCGGUCUUUAAGUGAUGACAUAUGAACCCUGCUUCCAGGUCCAAACUACUCUGUGUUUAUUAAAGCUGUUGUGUCUUAAUGCUUUGUAUCUUUUUCUAUUUAAUCUGAACAAGCCCCUAAAAAAAGUCAGUGAUCACUGUCGACCUCUCUCAGUUUUUAUUAUCACUAUUCAUUUUAAAGCUCAGUUUUUAAAACCUUACGAUGCAAUUACAGCCCAGCCCAUGCAGCAAUACAUUAAUGACUAACCUCGUUAAAUAUUCAGGAAUUAGAAAAAAACAUCAAAUCACUAGAAGAAGCCUACGCGUCCCACCAAGAUCAGGAAACAUUGAACAAAAUACGCAAAACAAAACUAGAAUUAAAUGAGAUAAUUGAUAAAAAAACAAAAUUCUUAGUACAAAGACUACGCCUACAAAAUUAUGAACAUGGUAAUAAAUCCGGUCAAUUUCUAGCAAACCAGCUAAAAAUAAAUAAAGAAAAAACAACUAUAUGUGCUGUUCAAGAUUCAUCUGGGAACACAAUAUAUGAUCCGAUACAAAUAAACAACAUUUUCAGGGAUUUCUAUAAAACGUUGUAUUCACCACAAAUAAACCCAUCUAAAAAAGAAAUUGAUCAGUUUUUGGACAACAUAACUCUUCCAAAAUUAUUGGACACUCAAGCAAUGGCACUGGAUUCACCACUGACACCAGGUGAACUCCAAGAAGCCCUGAUAAGUAUGCCCAAUAAUAAGGCUCCAGGUCCAGACGGCUUUCCUGCAGAAUUCUACAAAGAAUUCUGGUCGAUUCUAGCACCAGUUUUCUACAGAACGUUGUUGGAAAUUAAAGAAAAGGGCAGACUUCCAUCAAAUAUGAAUUCUGCAAACAUUAAUCUCCUGCUAAAACCAGGCAAAGACCCUGUAUAUCCCUCAAGCUAUCGUCCAAUAUCCCUUAUAAACGUAGACCUUAAAAUAAUCUGCAAAGCUCUCUCAAAGAGACUGGAGAAAAUAACCCCCCUCUUAAUUCAUCCUGACCAAACUGGUUUCAUAAAAGGUAGGCACUCAUCAACAAAUACACGUAGAUUACUUAAUUUGAUAGACUACUCAUACAGUAAAAACCUAGAAACUACAAUAUUCUCUUUAGACGCAGAAAAAGCAUUCGACAGUUAACUGGAAAUUUCUAUUUGCAACUUUACACAAAUUUGGUUUUGGAUCCUCUUUCAUAAACUGGUUAAAAAUAUUAUAUAAUUCCCCAACAGCUUGUGUUAGAACAAAUGACCAGACAUCCUCCAGCUUCUGUCUCUUGAGGGGCACCAGGCAGGGAUGCCCACUCUCCCCUUCACUGUUUGCAAUUUUUAUUGAACCACUAGCAGCAGCAAUUAGA